Molecule: ribosomal RNA, 463 nt
Filed under: uncultured rumen bacterium
Lineage: Bacteria
Description: bacterial SSU rRNA
Rfam family: Bacterial small subunit ribosomal RNA
Source: RNAcentral
UUUUAGUGGCGGACGGGUGAGUAACGCGUGGAUAACCUGCCUCAUACAGGGGGAUAACAGUUGGAAAUGACUGCUAAUACCGCAUAAGCGCACGGGGUCGCAUGGUCUUGUGUGAAAAACUCCGGUGGUAUGAGAUGGAUCCGCGUCUGAUUAGCUAGUUGGCGGGGUAACAGCCCACCAAGGCGACGAUCAGUAGCCGGCCUGAGAGGGUGAACGGCCACAUUGGGACUGAGACACGGCCCAAACUCCUACGGGAGGCAGCAGUGGGGGAUAUUGCACAAUGGGGGAAACCCUGAUGCAGCGACGCCGCGUGAGUGAAGAGGUAUUUCGGUAUGUAAAGCUCUAUCAGCAGGGAAGAUAAUGACGGUACCUGACUAAGAAGCACCGACUAUAUUCGUGCCAGCAGCCGCGGUAAUACGUAUGGUGCAAGCGUUAUCCGGAUUUACUGGGUGUAAAGGGAGCG